RNAcentral lists this non-coding RNA (22 nucleotides) under Sclerotinia sclerotiorum. Lineage: Eukaryota; Fungi; Ascomycota; Leotiomycetes; Helotiales; Sclerotiniaceae. The record is from RNAcentral.
UAGAUCGAUAUCGGGGAAGAUG